AGUGAACGCUGGCGGUAGGCCUAACACAUGCAAGUCGAACGGCAGCACAGUAAGAGCUUGCUCUUACGGGUGGCGAGUGGCGGACGGGUGAGGAAUACAUUGGAAUUUACUUUUUCGUGGGGGAGAACGUAGGGAAACUUACGCUAAUACCGCAUACGACCUACGGGUGAAAGCAGGGGAUCUUCGGACCUUGCGCGAUUGAAUGAGCCGAUGUCGGAUUAGCUAGUUGGCGGGGUAAAGGCCCACCAAGGCGACGAUCCGUAGCUGGUCUGAGAGGAUGAUCAGCCACACUGGAACUGAGACACGGUCCAGACUCCUACGGGAGGCAGCAGUGGGGAAUAUUGGACAAUGGGCGCAAGCCUGAUCCAGCCAUACCGCGUGGGUGAAGAAGGCCUUCGGGUUGUAAAGCCCUUUUGUUGGGAAAGAAAAGCAGCAGGUUAAUACCCCGCUGUUCUGACGGUACCCAAAGAAUAAGCACCGGCUAACUUCGUG
RNAcentral lists this ribosomal RNA (492 nucleotides) under uncultured bacterium. RNAcentral's name for it is "partial 16S ribosomal RNA". It matches the Rfam family "Bacterial small subunit ribosomal RNA", at positions 29 to 507 of the family's 1533-position model. The record is from RNAcentral.